Molecule: ribosomal RNA, 253 nt
Filed under: uncultured bacterium
Lineage: Bacteria
Description: partial 16S ribosomal RNA
Rfam family: Bacterial small subunit ribosomal RNA
Source: RNAcentral
UACGUAGGGAGCAAGCGUUGUCCGGAAUCAUUGGGCGUAAAGCGCGCGUAGGCGGCCCGAUAAGUCCGCUGUAAAAGUCAACGGCUCAACUGUUGAAAGCCGGUGGAUACUGUCGGGCUAGAGUACGGAAGAGGCAAGUGGAAUUCCUGGUGUAGCGGUGGAAUGCGCAGAUAUCAGGAGGAACACCAAUAGCGAAGGCAGCUCGCUGGGACGUUACUGACACUGAGGCGCGAAAGCGUGGGGAGCGAACAGG